GAUGAACGCUGGCGGCGUGCCUAAUACAUGCAAGUCGAACGCAUUGUGGUUGAAAUGAUAUGAAGAACUUGUUCAGAUUUGAUUUUCAACAUUGCAAUGAGUGGCGAACGGGUGAGUAACACGUGGGAAACCUACCUCUUAGCAGGGGAUAACAUUUGGAAACAAAUGCUAAUACCGUAUAAUAAUUAAAACCGCAUGGUUUUAGUUUAAAAGAUGGUCUUGCUAUCACUAAGAGAUGGUCCCGCGGUGUAUUAGUUAGUUGGUGAGGUAAUGGCUCACCAAGACAAUGAUACAUAGCCGAGUUGAGAGACUGACCGGCCACAAUGGGACUGAGACACGGGCCCAUACUCCUACGGGAGGCAGCAGCAGG
Molecule: ribosomal RNA, 370 nt
Filed under: uncultured bacterium
Lineage: Bacteria
Description: bacterial SSU rRNA
Rfam family: Bacterial small subunit ribosomal RNA
Source: RNAcentral